AGCUCGUGUCGUGAGAUGUUCGGUUAAGUCCGCUAACGAGCGCAACCCUCGCCUGUGUGUUACAAGUAGUCACACGGUACUGCCGGUCUUAAGCCGGAGGAAGGUGGGGAUGACGUCAAGUCAGCAUGGCCUUUAUGUCCUGGGCUACACACACGCUACAAUGGCCAACACAAUAGGUUGCUAAGCCGCGAGGUGGAGCCAAUCCUCAAAGUUGGUCUCAGUUCAGAUUGCAGGCUGCAACCCGCCUGCAUGAAGAUGGAGUUGCUAGUAACCGCAGGUCAGCUAUACUGCGGUGAAUACGUUCCCGGGGCUU
RNAcentral lists this ribosomal RNA (313 nucleotides) under uncultured Leptolinea sp. Its description in RNAcentral is "bacterial SSU rRNA". It matches the Rfam family "Bacterial small subunit ribosomal RNA", at positions 1057 to 1382 of the family's 1533-position model. The record is from RNAcentral. Lineage: Bacteria; Bacillati; Chloroflexota; Anaerolineae; Anaerolineales; Anaerolineaceae.